Molecule: ribosomal RNA, 254 nt
Filed under: uncultured bacterium
Lineage: Bacteria
Description: partial 16S ribosomal RNA
Rfam family: Bacterial small subunit ribosomal RNA
Source: RNAcentral
CACGUAGGGUGCGAGCGUUGUCCGGAAUUAUUGGGCGUAAAGAGCUCGUAGGCGGUGUGUCGCGUCGGCCGUGAAAACUCACAGCUUAACUGUGGGCGUGCGGGCGAUACGGGCAGACUGGAGUACUGCAGGGGAGACUGGAAUUCCUGGUGUAGCGGUGGAAUGCGCAGAUAUCAGGAGGAACACCGGUGGCGAAGGCGGGUCUCUGGGCAGUAACUGACGCUGGAGGAGCGAAAGCGUGGGGAGCGAACAGG